Molecule: ribosomal RNA, 566 nt
Filed under: uncultured bacterium
Lineage: Bacteria
Description: bacterial SSU rRNA
Rfam family: Bacterial small subunit ribosomal RNA
Source: RNAcentral
CCUACGGGAGGCAGCAGUGGGGAAUAUUGGGCAAUGGAGGAAACUCUGACCCAGCGACGCCGCGUGCGGGAUGAAGGCCUUCGGGUUGUAAACCGCUUUCAGCAGGGAAGAAGCGAAAGUGACGGUACCUGCAGAAGAAGCACCGGCUAACUAUGUGCCAGCAGCCGCGGUAAUACAUAGGGUGCAAGCGUUGUCCGGAAUUAUUGGGCGUAAAGAGCUCGUAGGUGGUUCGUCACGUCGGAUGUGAAAAUCUGGGGCUUAACCCCAGACCUGCAUUCGAUACGGGCGAGCUUGAGUAUGGUAGGGGAGUCUGGAAUUCCUGGUGUAGCGGUGGAAUGCGCAGAUAUCAGGAGGAACACCAAUGGCGAAGGCAGGACUCUGGGCCAUUACUGACACUGAGGAGCGAAAGCGUGGGGAGCGAACAGGAUUAGAUACCCUGGUAGUCCACGCCGUAAACGGUGGGCACUAGUUGUGGGGACCUUCCACGGUCUCUGCGACGCAGCUAACGCAUUAAGUGCCCCGCCUGGGGAUACGAUCGCAAGAUUAAAACUCAAAUGAAUUGACGG